This is a long non-coding RNA of Alnus glutinosa, 375 nucleotides long. RefSeq lists it as uncharacterized. The record is from RefSeq and is a predicted model, not a curated record. The transcript has 3 exons. Lineage: Eukaryota; Viridiplantae; Streptophyta; Magnoliopsida; Fagales; Betulaceae.
AUGAAUUUGUGUAGCUAUUUGCAUCCAUAAAAAGGGAGCAGUAGUAGCUCCAAUUCUCCAAACUUGUUCUGCAAAACGGACCUCAAGCAGUACUCAUGACUAUGGUAGUUUAGCUGUCCAACAAAGAUUGAGGAUCCUCAAGGUAGUCCAGAAGAAAACCAAAUUUAAUCUAAGAUGGUGGAACCGGCAAGCUGUUGCACUCUUAUCCUGAUCCUCAAGUAGUCUGGAACUUCUUCAUUCUAGUAACCAAAUUUUAAGAGUGGUGGAAACGACAAGUAGUCGCAUUUUUAUCUUGUAUGUGAAUUCAAUGCUACCUCUUUUUGCCUUAAUUUUGUUCCAUUUGAAAUACUUAUACUUCCUUUUUUCUUAACAAAC